GACGAACGCUGGCGGCGUGCUUAACACAUGCAAGUCGAACGGAAAGGCCCUGCUUUUGUGGGGUGCUCGAGUGGCGAACGGGUGAGUAACACGUGAGUAACCUGCCCUUGACUUUGGGAUAACUUCAGGAAACUGGGGCUAAUACCGGAUAGGAGCUCCUGCUGCAUGGUGGGGGUUGGAAAGUUUCGGCGGUUGGGGAUGGACUCGCGGCUUAUCAGCUUGUUGGUGGGGUAGUGGCUUACCAAGGCUUUGACGGGUAGCCGGCCUGAGAGGGUGACCGGCCACAUUGGGACUGAGAUACGGCCCAGACUCCUACGGGAGGCAGCAGUGGGGAAUAUUGCACAAUGGGCGGAAGCCUGAUGCAGCAACGCCGCGUGCGGGAUGACGGCCUUCGGGUUGUAAACCGCUUUCGCCUGUGACGAAGCGUGAGUGACGGCAAUGGGUAAAGAAGCACCGGCUAACUCCGUG
Molecule: ribosomal RNA, 468 nt
Filed under: uncultured bacterium
Lineage: Bacteria
Description: partial 16S ribosomal RNA
Rfam family: Bacterial small subunit ribosomal RNA
Source: RNAcentral